AGCACUCCUACGGGAGGCAGCAGUGGGGAAUAUUGCACAAGUGGGCGCAAGCCUGAGUGCAGCCAUGCCGCGUGUAUGAAGAAGGCCUUCGGGUUGUAAAGUACUUUCAGCAGUGAGGAAGGUGGGUAUGUUAAUAGCAUAUUCAUUUGACGUUAGCUGCAGAAGAAGCACCGGCUAACUCCGUGCCAGCAGCCGCGGUAAUACGGAGGGUGCGAGCGUUAAUCGGAAUUACUGGGCGUAAAAGCGCAUGCAGGUGGUUUGUUAAGUCAGAUGUGAAAGCCCGGGGCUCAACCUCGGAAUUGCAUUUGAAAACUGGCAAACUAGAGUACUGUAGAGGGGGUAGGAAUUUCAGGUGUAGCGGUGAAAUGCGUAGAGAUCUGAAGGAAUACCGGUGGCGAAGGCGGCCCCCUGGACAGAUACUGACACUCAGAUGCGAAAGCGUGGGGAGCAAACAGGAUUAGAUACCCUGGUAG
This 473-nucleotide ribosomal RNA is filed under the name uncultured bacterium. Its description in RNAcentral is "bacterial SSU rRNA". It matches the Rfam family "Bacterial small subunit ribosomal RNA", at positions 332 to 793 of the family's 1533-position model. The record is from RNAcentral.